Non-coding RNA from Dreissena polymorpha, 76 nucleotides. The record is from the annotation of a RefSeq genome assembly. Lineage: Eukaryota; Metazoa; Mollusca; Bivalvia; Myida; Dreissenidae.
GUUGUCGUGGCCGAGUGGUUAAGGCGAUAGACUAGAAUUUUAUCUUCUCGCGCAGGUUCGAAUCCUGCCGACAACG